Chenopodium quinoa (quinoa) is the source of this 409-nucleotide long non-coding RNA. RefSeq lists it as uncharacterized. NCBI's taxonomy places the organism in Eukaryota, Viridiplantae, Streptophyta, Magnoliopsida, Caryophyllales, Amaranthaceae. The transcript has 2 exons. The record is from RefSeq and is a predicted model, not a curated record.
UUAUUUUUUACAGAACCGAAAAAUAUAUUUCGAAUUAGAGAGAUAAAGAGAAUGAUGAUUCAGAGAAGAAUCAUGUUCGUUGAACAUAACAAGGCAUAGUCUGAAGAAACGUGAACCAAAUUAGGAAGCAAGGAUGCGGAACUGAUGCUAUUUGAAGAAAAACACUAAAUAUAGGUUAAAUCGAAGAUAAGCAAGGAAGUUUGCAAAUGAAUAGUACAUGUUAUAUGUUCAUUUAUGAAAGUGUAUAUGUUCAUUAAUGAAUGUGUAUAUGAUCAUAUCUUAAACUUCCUCCAUUUCUUUUUACUUGCAACACAGCCUUGUGGCACGUGUUUUGAGGUCGGGUUUAUGUAAUGUAAACGGAUAAAUUAUUCAUUAUAAUUUUUACAAAUGAUACUUAACCCUAUUCUAA